GAUCAUGGCUCAGGAUGAACGCUGGCGGCGUGCUUAACACAUGCAAGUCGAACGAAGCACUUUAAUUGAUUUCUUCGGAAUGAAGUUUUUGUGGCUGAGUGGCGGACGGGUGAGUAACGCGUGGGUAACCUGCCUCAUGCAGGGGGAUAACAGUUGGAAACGACUGCUAAUACCGCAUAAGCGCACAGGAUUGCAUGAUCCAGUGUGAAAAGCUCCGGU
Molecule: ribosomal RNA, 219 nt
Filed under: uncultured bacterium
Lineage: Bacteria
Description: partial 16S ribosomal RNA
Rfam family: Bacterial small subunit ribosomal RNA
Source: RNAcentral